AGAGUUUGAUCAUGGCUCAGGACGAACGCUGGCGGCGUGCCUAACACAUGCAAGUCGAGCGAGGACUUCGGUCCUAGCGGCGGACGGGUGAGUAACACGUGGGUAACCUGCCUCAAAGAGGGGGAUAGCCUCCCGAAAGGGAGAUUAAUACCGCAUAAUAUUAAACUUUCGCAUGAGAGUUUAAUUAAAGGAGCAAUCCGCUUUGAGAUGGACCCGCGGCGCAUUAGCUAGUUGGUGAGGUAACGGCUCACCAAGGCCACGAUGCGUAGCCGACCUGAGAGGGUGAUCGGCCACAUUGGAACUGAGACACGGUCCAGACUCCUACGGGAGGCAGCAGUGGGGAAUAUUGCACAAUGGGCGAAAGCCUGAUGCAGCAACGCCGCGUGAGUGAUGAAGGCCUUCGGGUUGUAAAGCUCUGUCUUUGGGGACGAUUAUGACGGUACCCAAGGAGGAAGCCACGGCUAACUACGUGCCAGCAGCCGCGGUAAUACGUAGGUGGCAAGCGUUGUCCGGAUUUACUGGGCGUAAAGGAUGCGUAGGCGGAUAUUUAAGUCAGAUGUGAAAUACCCGGGCUUAACUUGGGUGCUGCAUUUGAAACUGGAUAUCUAGAGUGCGGGAGAGGAAAGUGGAAUUCCUAGUGUAGCGGUGAAAUGCGUAGAGAUUAGGAAGAACACCAGUGGCGAAGGCGACUUUCUGGACCGUAACUGACGCUGAGGCAUGAAAGCGUGGGGAGCAAACAGGAUUAGAUACCCUGGUAGUCCACGCCGUAAACGAUGGGUACUAGGUGUAGGGGGUAUCGACUCCCUCUGUGCCGCAGUUAACACAAUAAGUACCCCGCCUGGGGAGUACGGUCGCAAGAUUAAAACUCAAAGGAAUUGACGG
RNAcentral lists this ribosomal RNA (882 nucleotides) under uncultured bacterium. RNAcentral describes it as "bacterial SSU rRNA". It matches the Rfam family "Bacterial small subunit ribosomal RNA", at positions 8 to 916 of the family's 1533-position model. The record is from RNAcentral.